This 2246-nucleotide ribosomal RNA is filed under the name Salmonella enterica subsp. enterica serovar Enteritidis. RNAcentral describes it as "partial 23S ribosomal RNA". It matches the Rfam family "Bacterial large subunit ribosomal RNA", at positions 711 to 2925 of the family's 2925-position model. The record is from RNAcentral. Lineage: Bacteria; Pseudomonadati; Pseudomonadota; Gammaproteobacteria; Enterobacterales; Enterobacteriaceae.
AGACCCGAAACCCGGUGAUCUAGCCAUGGGCAGGUUGAAGGUUGGGUAACACUAACUGGAGGACCGAACCGACUAAUGUUGAAAAAUUAGCGGAUGACCUGUGGCUGGGGGUGAAAGGCCAAUCAAACCGGGAGAUAGCUGGUUCUCCCCGAAAGCUAUUUAGGUAGCGCCUCGUGAAUUCAUCUCCGGGGGUAGAGCACUGUUUCGGCUAGGGGGCCAUCCCGGCUUACCAACCCGAUGCAAACUGCGAAUACCGGAGAAUGUUAUCACGGGAGACACACGGCGGGUGCUAACGUCCGUCGUGAAGAGGGAAACAACCCAGACCGCCAGCUAAGGUCCCAAAGUCAUGGUUAAGUGGGAAACGAUGUGGGAAGGCCCAGACAGCCAGGAUGUUGGCUUAGAAGCAGCCAUCAUUUAAAGAAAGCGUAAUAGCUCACUGGUCGAGUCGGCCUGCGCGGAAGAUGUAACGGGGCUAAACCAUGCACCGAAGCUGCGGCAGCGACGCUGAUGCGUUGUUGGGUAGGGGAGCGUUCUGUAAGCCUGCGAAGGUGGCCUGUGAGGGUUGCUGGAGGUAUCAGAAGUGCGAAUGCUGACAUAAGUAACGAUAAAGCGGGUGAAAAGCCCGCUCGCCGGAAGACCAAGGGUUCCUGUCCAACGUUAAUCGGGGCAGGGUGAGUCGACCCCUAAGGCGAGGCCGAAAGGCGUAGUCGAUGGGAAACGGGUUAAUAUUCCCGUACUUGGUGUUACUGCGAAGGGGGGACGGAGAAGGCUAUGUUGGCCGGGCGACGGUUGUCCCGGUUUAAGCGUGUAGGCUGGUUUUCCAGGCAAAUCCGGAAAAUCAAGGCUGAGGCGUGAUGACGAGGCACUACGGUGCUGAAGCAACAAAUGCCCUGCUUCCAGGAAAAGCCUCUAAGCAUCAGGUAACAUCAAAUCGUACCCCAAACCGACACAGGUGGUCAGGUAGAGAAUACCAAGGCGCUUGAGAGAACUCGGGUGAAGGAACUAGGCAAAAUGGUGCCGUAACUUCGGGAGAAGGCACGCUGACACGUAGGUGAAGUGAUUUACUCAUGGAGCUGAAGUCAGUCGAAGAUACCAGCUGGCUGCAACUGUUUAUUAAAAACACAGCACUGUGCAAACACGAAAGUGGACGUAUACGGUGUGACGCCUGCCCGGUGCCGGAAGGUUAAUUGAUGGGGUCAGCGCAAGCGAAGCUCCUGAUCGAAGCCCCGGUAAACGGCGGCCGUAACUAUAACGGUCCUAAGGUAGCGAAAUUCCUUGUCGGGUAAGUUCCGACCUGCACGAAUGGCGUAAUGAUGGCCAGGCUGUCUCCACCCGAGACUCAGUGAAAUUGAACUCGCUGUGAAGAUGCAGUGUACCCGCGGCAAGACGGAAAGACCCCGUGAACCUUUACUAUAGCUUGACACUGAACAUUGAGCCUUGAUGUGUAGGAUAGGUGGGAGGCUUUGAAGUGUGGACGCCAGUCUGCAUGGAGCCGACCUUGAAAUACCACCCUUUAAUGUUUGAUGUUCUAACGUGGACCCGUUACCCGGGUUGCGGACAGUGUCUGGUGGGUAGUUUGACUGGGGCGGUCUCCUCCUAAAGAGUAACGGAGGAGCACGAAGGUUGGCUAAUCCUGGUCGGACAUCAGGAGGUUAGUGCAAUGGCAUAAGCCAGCUUGACUGCGAGCGUGACGGCGCGAGCAGGUGCGAAAGCAGGUCAUAGUGAUCCGGUGGUUCUGAAUGGAAGGGCCAUCGCUCAACGGAUAAAAGGUACUCCGGGGAUAACAGGCUGAUACCGCCCAAGAGUUCAUAUCGACGGCGGUGUUUGGCACCUCGAUGUCGGCUCAUCACAUCCUGGGGCUGAAGUAGGUCCCAAGGGUAUGGCUGUUCGCCAUUUAAAGUGGUACGCGAGCUGGGUUUAGAACGUCGUGAGACAGUUCGGUCCCUAUCUGCCGUGGGCGCUGGAGAACUGAGGGGGGCUGCUCCUAGUACGAGAGGACCGGAGUGGACGCAUCACUGGUGUUCGGGUUGUCAUGCCAAUGGCACUGCCCGGUAGCUAAAUGCGGAAGAGAUAAGUGCUGAAAGCAUCUAAGCACGAAACUUGCCCCGAGAUGAGUUCUCCCUGAGACUUAGAGUCUCCUGAAGGAACGUUGAAGACGACGACGUUGAUAGGCCGGGUGUGUAAGCGCAGCGAUGCGUUGAGCUAACCGGUACUAAUGAACCGUGAGGCUUAACCUUACAACGCCG